RNAcentral lists this transfer RNA (64 nucleotides) under Papilio polytes (common Mormon). RNAcentral describes it as "tRNA-Arg". Lineage: Eukaryota; Metazoa; Arthropoda; Insecta; Lepidoptera; Papilionidae. The record is from RNAcentral.
AAAUAUGAAGCAAUAUUAUGCAUUUAAUUUCGACUUAAAAGAAAGAGUCAUUACUCCAUAUUUU